CCCUUAGAUGUCCUGAGCCGCACGCGUGCUACACUGAUGCAUACAGCGAGUACUUUCCAGCUCCGCGAGGCAGCUGGUAAUCAGCAAUAUGCAUCGUGCUGGGGAUAGAUCUUUGGAAUUAUAGAUCUUGAACGAGGAAUUCCUAGUAAGCGCAAGUCAUUAGCUUGCGCUGAUUAAGUCCCUGCCCUUUGUACACACCGCCCGUCGCUCCUACCGAUUUCGAGUGAUUCGGUGAACCUUUUGGACAGCGUCUGUCCUCGUGUCAGAUGCUGAAAGUCAAGUAAACCAUAUCACUUAGAGGAAGGAGAAGUCGUAACA
RNAcentral lists this ribosomal RNA (318 nucleotides) under uncultured eukaryote. RNAcentral's name for it is "partial 18S ribosomal RNA". It matches the Rfam family "Eukaryotic small subunit ribosomal RNA", at positions 1470 to 1796 of the family's 1831-position model. The record is from RNAcentral.